RNA transcript from Brienomyrus brachyistius, 3665 nucleotides. It is a transcript of the gene named phosphatidylserine synthase 1-like, with no coding region annotated. The transcript has 13 exons. Lineage: Eukaryota; Metazoa; Chordata; Actinopteri; Osteoglossiformes; Mormyridae. The record is from RefSeq and is a predicted model, not a curated record.
UAUAGCAUGCAGCGCACUAGGGAAUACGCUGUAUUGCUGAGGACAAACAGGAGAUCAAGGACAAAUAAUGUGAUUUUUAGCCGAAGGGACAAGAAGCAGGAAUAACAGUUCGGUCGGUGGAAGAAGGAGAAGGUGUGAGACCACUACCUACACUAAAUCACUCUAACAAAGAGUAACGUUAGAUGGCCGUGCUUCGGAGUGAUUAGGCCAACAAAAGUAGGAAACAAAAUAAAAUAUUUUAAUGCUCUUUAAAUAUAAAUCUAGCCCAAGCAGUAUCACAAAAGAUUUAUUCUACUACGAAAGCCAAGUACAUGUCUGAAGAAACCUAACUUACUUGAGUUGCAUUUUUCAUUUAAGUGGGAAUAUAAGUACUAUGGAUCAGGAAACGCUUUAAUUCCCUGUUUGCCUAAAUAUCCCCCAUUUCCCUGGACUGGUGCCUCGGCCCGCGCUGCACACGUGACCCCGAUCAAGUUUCACUCCUCGGAUCCAGUGCGGAAUUCCAGAAAAGAGUCGGUCGUUAUUCCGAGUCAUACUAUCAGAGUUGACCUUGCUCAUGACUUGGAUAUAAAUAUAUACGAGCACCUUUACAAAUACGGGUUUUGUUGCGGGGAGCACGCAUAACUCAGGACGACGCACUUUUUAUUUCGCAUGCAUCAACUCAUUUGUCGCAGUUAAAUAGCCUUCUGAUCAUUUCACUAACCAGCCGCUGGUUAACUCAGUGAUCGCGGAUAGACGUGGAUUAACCCGAAACAAAAACAUUAUCCGGUAGCAUUUAGCUGGAGUUAUGGCGACCCAGACCUUGAGCAAAGAUGAUGUCAGUUACAGGCUUCAUUUCCGCAUGAUCAACGAGCAACAAGUGGAGGAUAUUACCAUCGAGUUCUUCUACAAGCCUCACACGAUCACGUUGCUCACUUGCACCGUGAUCAGCUUGAUGUACUUCGCAUUUGCGAGGAACGACACGGAUCCGGACAGCAACUUAAGGGUGGGCCUCCUGUUGGUCAUCUUCUUCUUUCUCAUCAUUGGUGUCCUUGCCUUCCCCAACGGUCCGUUCACGAGGCCACAUCCAGUGAUAUGGCGCAUGGUUUUCGGUCUCAGUGUUCUGUACUUCCUCUUUCUGGUCUUCAUCAUCUUCCUGAACUGGGAACAGGUGAAGAGCCUGAUGUACUGGCUGGAUCCUGAUCUUCGCUACGCCACCCGUGAAGUCGAAGUCAUGGAGUAUGCGGUGAACUGUCACGUCAUCACCUGGGAGCGCAUCCUCAGCCACUUCGACAUCUUCGCCUUCGGGCACUUCUGGGGCUGGGCCAUGAAGGCGCUGCUCAUCCGCAGCUACGGACUCUGCUGGACCAUCAGCAUCACCUGGGAGCUGACGGAGCUGUUCUUCAUGCAUCUUCUGCCCAACUUUGCUGAGUGUUGGUGGGAUCAGGUGAUCCUGGACAUCCUCCUGUGCAACGGGGGAGGUAUCUGGCUGGGCAUGACCGUCUGCCACUUCCUGGAGAUGCGGGCGUACCACUGGGCCAGCAUCAAGGACAUACAUAGCACCACGGGGAAGAUCAAGCGAGCCGCGCUGCAGUUCACGCCUGCCAGCUGGACCUACGUGCGCUGGUUUGACCCCAAGUCGUCCUUUCAGAGGGUGGCGGGCGUCUACCUCUUCAUGAUUCUCUGGCAGCUGACGGAGCUCAACACAUUCUUCCUGAAGCACAUCUUCGUAUUUCAGGCUUCCCACCCCCUCAGCUGGUGUCGGAUCCUGUUCGUCGGUAUUAUCACGGCCCCCACCGUACGGCAGUAUUAUGCUUAUCUCACCGAUACGCAGUGCAGAAGGGUCGGGACGCAGUGCUGGGUCUUCGGGGCUAUCGCCUUCCUGGAAGCCCUGGCCUGCGUUAAAUUCGGCCAGGACCUCUUCUCCAAGACUCAGGUCCUCUACGUCAUCCUCUGGCUCCUGUGCCUGGCCUUCAUCACAUUCCUCUGCCUCUACGGGAUGGUGUGGUACGCGGAGAGGUUCGAGACGCAUCACAAGAACCAUUCGGAAUGUGAGGAUCCCUACGACAGAGAUUCGAAAGACUGUUGGCCUAAAAAGAUCAAAGGUACAGAGGUAUUCUGUAGCUGAAAAAGCUUGUUGGAUAUAAACAAAGUGUGACGAAUUACAUGGCCUGACACAUCCAGAAGGAGAAGAUUCAGGGGGGGCUGCCCUUCGCUCAUCCAAGCAGAGGAGGAGCGUGGGCAAGAACAAGGCGAGCAAUGGGCAAGACAGGCGGAAGGGAAGACUGGUUUGACCCCCCCAACACCACUACCUCCACCAUUGUUGGUGGUGACUGGGAAUCAGGCAGAGAAUUGAUCACUAUACAGGAUCUCUGCACAGUCUGUGAGCAAAGCAGAGCAGAGGGGAGAGAAUGUAGAUGGUUGGUGGAAGAUGAUACCCGGUCUGAUGCCGUCUGGUCAUUUUUGGACAAACUGCUGUUUUCAUUGUACCGCGUGACCCACUGCCAACCUGUGAGAGUCUCUGUAUGUUGCAGGAUAGCAGUUCUUCACUUGGACUGCAAAACCCAAGAAGCCAAUCAGAGAGCGAAUUACUACUGUGAAUUUGCAUGCAAGCUCCACCUAUACUAUAGACGCUGUGCUUAUUUGUUGGUCUUGUCCCAGUGGCAGUAUUUAUCACCAUAGUAUCUUGUAAGGUAUUUGUAAUACCGGCGUUUAUGAUUUGAACAUAGAGCACUGAACAUUUGAAAAUAUGUAUAGAAUAUCAAGAUUUUAAAUGGGCAGCUUGGAAAACCCUGAGUGAAACACAGUUUCGGUACUUUUUAAGUCGUUUGAUCUGUGACUUAUGUUUGUAACAUUGUGGUGCUUGUUUAUGAAGUUGUACUAACAGAACCUGCAUGUGUUUCAGGUUCUGCGUGUUUGUGUUUCUCUUAUAGGUUUUCAUUAUAAGUCCUUAAGUUACCUUCCUAAAAUGGGCCUCCUCUCACUAUUGCUUCUUUGCCCUGAUGGAUGUUAUCAUUCAUCUCUGGUACUUGAUUGACAUUCACUCGUCUGUACUGCUUCUCUCGUAGCUGAUAGGGGUCUUGAGAUUUGACAGUGAUGUUAAUCUUCCUGGAAAUCGCUGAGCAUCACGUCCUGAAACAUUUAAUCACAUAAAUCAGACUGACAGUCCUGGUGACAUUUGCACAAUCUGUCUACGCCUUGAGAAACUUUUUUCUUAAGCAUGUUGGGUUUUGUAUGUUGUAGAUUUUGGUUGCACUUUAAGAUGCUUUAAUAAUAAACCUGUUUUGGAUGAUUUUUUUUCCUAACCAAUGGGAUGAUCUUCCUGUAAUUUACAUGGAAAUUGGUAAUAACAUUGUAUUAACCAAAUGGACACUAAUGAUAUGAUACUUUUGUGGUGAACUUACAUUUAAUGAAAUUUUAAAUUUUAAACAUUAAAUGGGUUAUAAAUGUUAUAACAAUGGACUACUGUACUGUAUUUAGGUCAUAAAGAUAUUUCUAGACUGAGUGCUUUUUUCCAGACUCCCUUUUUUAUUACGUUACAUUGUGAUACAUUGUCAGCAUAGCAACAGACUGACAUCUCUGAAUAUGUCAAACUCAUAACACCAUCGGUUAACCUCUGACCUCCUGGAGGUGAUAUCUGUCACAGCGAUCAUUUUUAAAGUGCUAAUAAAAAAAUCCCAAAUUUCCUA